AGAGCUGCGUGGGCUCCUAAACACUCCGUGAAGUAUGUUUAUGUCUGCUCUGACCACUUCAUCACAGGAAAGCCUGUUGAUGUUCCUGGUCACCCAGAUUAUAUACCCCACCUGAAAAUCUUUGACUCAAAGGGCAAGGCAGUGCAAACCCCACAGGACAGUUUGAGCUUUGACAUCACGGACACUUCGACCUCUGCAAACAAGCUAGAAAGAUUUCAGCGAUAUCUGAAGCUGCAGAAGACUCGAUGUUCACUCGAGCCAAACAAAAUUUCUGCUCUAGUCAACAGAGAAAAUUCAUCACAGGAAGAGA
Long non-coding RNA from Nematolebias whitei (Rio pearlfish), 310 nucleotides. RefSeq lists it as uncharacterized. Lineage: Eukaryota; Metazoa; Chordata; Actinopteri; Cyprinodontiformes; Rivulidae. The transcript has 3 exons. The record is from RefSeq and is a predicted model, not a curated record.